CGAGUGCCUCGAGCGUUAUCCGGAAUUAUUGGGCGUAAAGGGUGCGUAGGCGGUAGUGUUAGUCUCGUGUUAAAUCUGUCGGCUCAACCGAUAGGCUGCAUGGGAAACGGCACAACUAAGAGGAUGGAAGGGGUCUGCGGAACUCAUAGUGUAGCGGUGAAAUGCGUUGAUAUUAUGGGGAACACCGAAGCGAAGGCAGCAGACUGGUCCACUCCUGACGCUGAAAGCACGAAAGCGUGGGUCGCGGAAUGGGAUU
This 256-nucleotide ribosomal RNA is filed under the name uncultured bacterium. Its description in RNAcentral is "partial 16S ribosomal RNA". It matches the Rfam family "Bacterial small subunit ribosomal RNA", at positions 526 to 779 of the family's 1533-position model. The record is from RNAcentral.